CUGGGAAGGCUGCAGGAUCUGUGUGUGAGAGACACGCUUUCUGAUGCAAGCGUCACUUAGCUACGGAGGUAGCGCUUCCUGAUUGGCUUCCCCUGUCCGGCGCUGUCUGCUGACGUAUGCCUCCAGAGACCUGUACUCAGUGCGGCAGGACGCAGCGGGAACAGUGGCGCUGGACAGGUGAGUACAAUCUCAGCAAUGAACACUUGUUUAAGUGGGAAUAAGUGCUCAGUGUGUGUAUUACCUGUAUGUGUAUCGCUUGUCCCUGACGACGGGGGUAGUCCCCGAAACGGUGUAGGACCAUAAUAAAGACAUUUUAACUUA
This is a long non-coding RNA of Pseudophryne corroboree (corroboree frog), 321 nucleotides long. RefSeq lists it as uncharacterized. Lineage: Eukaryota; Metazoa; Chordata; Amphibia; Anura; Myobatrachidae. The transcript is spliced from 2 exons. The record is from RefSeq and is a predicted model, not a curated record.